Molecule: non-coding RNA, 3310 nt
Organism: Nylanderia fulva
Lineage: Eukaryota; Metazoa; Arthropoda; Insecta; Hymenoptera; Formicidae
Source: RefSeq, a predicted model, not a curated record
GCCAGUGACGCAUUGAUGACGCAUUUAUUUAAUUGUUUCAAUUUUGAUCGAUUUGAUAUUUGAUUGUAAGUUUUAUGUUGAAUUCGUGCAUGCGAUGUUCAAUAAAAAAAGAAUCUUUCGUUUUAUAUCCUAAAAUAUCGCUAACUAAAAUUACUAAAAAGCAAGCUCUUCCAUUGGACAUCAAAAAUUUAUAGAAAAUAAAUUUAAUGAAGUGAGCUCUUGAAUAAUAAAUGAUAACUCGAGUGAAAAUCGGCGCAAAUUUAAAAUAUAUUUAUAACAUUCGCAGUUAUUAGCAUUAUUUGCAUGAAAGAAUCGACGAAUUCUGGAGAUAGAAACGGAGGAUUCUGAUUGGUUAAUUCCUUUGUGCAUUUGUGUUAUGCACUAGUGUUCGUGCUUUUAUGCGAAUCGGUCUUGAUAGUGCAAUUGACAAUCAAACUUGUACAAGUGCGAUCGAAGGAUCGGUGCUCUCGCAAAAGCGACAGCAGCAAUUUGAGGUUUUUGUGCGUGAAAUUCACAGAAAAAAAAGAGAAAAACUCGUACAACUGCAAGGAAUACGAACAGCAAGUCGACGAAAAACAACUGACAUAUCCAAACGCUACGAUGGUGGAUUAUAGCAAAUGGAAGAACAUCGAGAUUUCAGAUGAUGAAGAUGAUACACAUCCAAACAUUGACACACCAUCCUUAUUCAGAUGGCGUCAUCAGGCACGAGUUGAGAGAAUGGAAGAACGUAAGAAAGAGCAAGAAGAACACGACAGAAAAAAAACAGAAACAUUGCAGAAAUUAAAGGAUACAAAAGAAAAGUUAGCUAAAUUAGAAAGCGAACAGAAAGAUUCAGCUGAUUUAACUACAUUAAAAAAAGUUAUUCAAGAUCUCGAAAAAGAACAAGAAAAAAUUAAGAAAGAGGAAGAAGAAAUGCAGAAAAAGGAGAGAUUGACACCUUGGAAUGUAGAUACCAUUGGUCAAGAUGGUUUUACAAAAACUGUAAUAAAUACGAAGCCUCCUAGGAACGAUGAUGAUGCUGGUUUGUCUGAUGAAGAAAAGGAGAAACGAAUGAAGCAGUUUGUCAAAGAAAAUGAGAAAAAAUUGAAAGAAUUUGGCAUGCUAAGGAAAUAUGAUGACAGUAAGAAAUUUUUACAAGAGUAUCCACAUUUAGUUUGUGAGAAUACAGCAAAUUAUUUAGUUAUUUGGUGCAUCAAUUUAGAAAUGGAAGAAAAACAUGAUUUAAUGGAACACGUUGCUCAUCAAUGUAUAUGUAUGCAAUACAUAUUGGAGCUAUCGAAGCAAUUGGAAGUUGAUCCACGAGCAUGCGUUGGAUCCUUUUUCAGUCGUAUUCAAAUUGCUGAAGUAGAGUAUAAGAAUUCCUUCGACGAUGAAUUACGAGCGUUUAAGGAUAGAAUACGCAAGAGAGCAGCAGAAAAGGUGGCUGAGGCACUUAGAGAGGCCGAAGAGGAAGAGAGGAAAGCUCGUCUAGGUCCUGGGGGACUUGAUCCGGUCGAAGUGUUUGAAAGUCUUCCAGAGUCUUUACAAAAAUGUUUCGAGUCGCAAGACAUCCCUUUGUUGCAAAAAACGAUAGCUGAGAUGUCGGAGGAAGAGGCGACAUAUCACAUGAAGCGUUGCGUUGACAGUGGUCUAUGGGUUCCUGAUGCAAAAGCCAAGGAAAAGGAGGAACAACAAAAUGUUGCAAAAGAAACACCAGACCCGGAAUAACGGCAUUUUAUUUGAUCGCGCCUACAUAUAGAUACUCAAUGAAAAUCAGUAAACCAUCUCAGUUAUACAGGAGUACUCUUUACACAUAAUAUGAAACAGCUUUGUGUCGCUCAAGAGAUGUUUGAAAGUUCCCGCCAUCGAACUCGAAUGCUCGGAGCGCGAGAUCGAGCUCUCGAUCUCGCGGCGACGGCGUACAUAUACCGGAAGCUCGGACGCCUCGUCCUUUUCCGGUGCGGCGUGUCGCAGGCGAAUAGACGUCGCCGACGGAAUUGCUGUGAUCCAUGUCAUCAUCCCACACCCACCUACGUGUGUCCAAAAUGAGAGGAAUUCUGAAGUAGAAUUAAGAGCGCGAGUUCCUGAGCCCUCGAAAAAAUUCAUUCUUUCUUGCACGGGGUAUGUAUUUCAAUGUUAUGUGACGCGUUCCUGAGUUUCUUUCCGCGCGAAAAAUUCGACAAGUUUCGUCGCGAUUGGAAUAUUUCGAGGAUAUUCGAGCGAAAUUAUUUGACGCGAUUUUUGCUUUUUAAAUUGCGACGCGAUUUUGUUACAAAAACAUGGCAUUUUUUCGCAUUAAUACGAUCGAUAACACGUAAGAUUUUCUUGCACGAGAUUUAUAUAUAUAUAUAUGUAUGCAUAUAUAUACAUAUAUAUAUAUAAUAUAUAUAUAUUUAUAUAACGGGAUCAGUUCGAUGUUUCUCGAAAUAGGGAUUAUGUAACUUUCCAUUUUCGUUUAAAUCGCCCAUUUCGAGCGUAAAGACUGCUUUUGACGUAUAGAUUUUCGUGUAAGAUAUCUGAAAAUUUUGUCGAAAAUAUUUUCGUGAUAUCGGACCGUCGUCCGCGCCAUUUUCAGUAGCCAGGUGAUCGCGCAUAAAGUACAUCGGCCGAGCGACGAGGUAAUCGAAAGCGCGUCGUGACGCACGCAUUCUGGGUAAAAUCGUUGUCGUUUCUCAAAAUGGCUGUCGGGAUGAGUGAUUUCCGUUUCGAGGUACGCCGUGCGAUAUUCAGUUUCCGUAAUAUUCGUCGUUUUCCAGCAGAUCGUUGAAUCGGCGCAGAAAAAAUCGCGGAAAAAUUUUCACCGAAUUAAUUCCGCCUCUUAUCGCAUUGCUCGACAUUCCGCAGAGUUUCUCCACGAAGGAUUUCUUUUACGCUUUAAUAAUCUCUUUUCCGGUCCGCGCGCGCACGCGACGCAUGGAGAAGAGAAUCUGACAGCGCAUGCGCCGAUUCACCCUUCUCCCGCGUGGGCGACCAAUCGCGCUCAUCGUCUUGACGUCGCUGUCACGGAAUUCGUCGAGAGGGAGUCCGAUGACGAGAUGGCGCGCGCGUUGCAUGUCGGGACGUAGGUAGGUAGGCCUCGGAAAGAGGGAAGGGGAGGGUGAGAAGAAGCGACUCGGGUUCACAAAAUGGCGGUCAAGCCCGUGAGUCCAUGAGCAUACAGUACGCGAUCUUCGAUUGAAUGUGCCGUAAUGUCGGACCGUCGACGUCAAUAACGAUUUAUUAUCGCAAACACGUGCUUGCGCGACAGUGCUACGAUUGAAUUUCGGAGGAUUUGCAUGCGGAACGGGAAUACGAGAGGUCGUAGGUGCGACGCGUAGACGGGACCAUGCAG